This 459-nucleotide ribosomal RNA is filed under the name uncultured bacterium. RNAcentral describes it as "partial 16S ribosomal RNA". It matches the Rfam family "Bacterial small subunit ribosomal RNA", at positions 338 to 795 of the family's 1533-position model. The record is from RNAcentral.
CCUACGGGUGGCAGCAGUGAGGAAUAUUGGUCAAUGGGCGCGAGCCUGAACCAGCCAAGUAGCGUGAAGGAUGACUGCCCUACGGGUUGUAAACUUUUUUUAUAAAGGAAUAAAGUGAGGCACGUGUGCCUUUUGUAUGUACUUUAUGAAUAAGGAUCGGCUAACUCCGUGCCAGCAGCCGCGGUCAUACGGAGGAUGCGAGCGUUAUCAGGAUUUAUUGGGUUUAAAGGGAGCGUAGAUGGGUUGUUAAGUCAGUUGUGAAAGUUUGCGGCUCAACGGUAAAAUUGCAAUUGAUACUGGCAGUCUUGAGUACAGUUGAGGUAGGCGGAAUUCGUGGUGUAGCGGUGAAAUGCUUAGAUAUCACGAAGAACUCCGAUUGCGAAGGCAGCUUACUAAACUGCCACUGACAUUGAUGCUCGAAAGUGUGGGUAUCAAACAGGAUUAGAUACCCCGGUAGUC